GAAGCGAAGCGGUGACGUGGAGCAAACCNCAGAAAGCCAAUCUCAGUUCGGAUUGUAGGCUGCAACUCGCCUACAUGAAGUUGGAAUCGCUAGUAAUCGCGAAUCAGAAUGUCGCGGUGAAUACGUUCCCGGGUCUUGUACACACCGCCCGUCACACCACGAGAGUUUACAACACCCGAAGUCAGUGGCCUAACCGCAAGGAGGGAGCUGCCUAAGGUGGGGUAGAUGAUUGGGGUGAAGUCGUAACAAGGUAAC
Molecule: ribosomal RNA, 255 nt
Filed under: uncultured bacterium
Lineage: Bacteria
Description: partial 16S ribosomal RNA
Rfam family: Bacterial small subunit ribosomal RNA
Source: RNAcentral